GCGGAUGGCUGGAUGGCUGCGGCAGUGAUGUCGAGGAAAGUCCGGACUCCAAAAAGCACGGUGCCGGGUAACGCCCGGCGGGGGUAACCCUAGGGAAAGCGCCACAGAGAACAGACUACCUUGGUCGCACCUAUGGUGCGCAUCCGUCAAAGCCAGGGAAAAGGUGAAACGGUGGGGUAAGAGCCCACCGCGCAAGCGGCAACGUAAGCGGCACGGCAAGCCCCACCGGGAGCAAUGCCAAAUAGGGACCUCGCGUCGCAAGACGGGGAUGCUUGAACCCCAGACGGUCCGGGUUGGCAGCUAGAGGGUGUCUGGUAACAGGCAUCCCAGAUGAAUGGUCAUCCAUCCGGGGCAACCCGGAGGACAGAAUCCGGCUUAUAGGCCAUCCGCGCGC
RNAcentral lists this RNase P RNA (394 nucleotides) under Paracoccaceae bacterium. RNAcentral's name for it is "RNase P RNA component class A". It matches the Rfam family "Bacterial RNase P class A". From Rfam's summary of the family: Ribonuclease P (RNase P) is a ubiquitous endoribonuclease, found in archaea, bacteria and eukarya as well as chloroplasts and mitochondria. Its best characterised activity is the generation of mature 5'-ends of tRNAs by cleaving the 5'-leader elements of precursor-tRNAs. Cellular RNase Ps are ribonucleoproteins. Lineage: Bacteria; Pseudomonadati; Pseudomonadota; Alphaproteobacteria; Rhodobacterales; Paracoccaceae. The record is from RNAcentral.